UAUACUCUCAAGCAGAUGAUAUCCAACAUCAUUUUUAUUUUAAAGCUGUGGAAGCCAUUUAUCAUUGAGUCAUCUACGUGAGAAGUAAAGUUGAAAAAAAAAGUGUAUUUUCCUUACCUUCUCUUGAUAAAUAUCACCUUUAACUCCUCUCUGCCUCUAUAGGCUGAAUCAUGCGCUUCUAACUUAGUAGAGAGAAAUCCCAUUGCCUAGAAUUUUAAAUGAAAUUGCAUUAUGUACUAAUGAAAGCAUAAACCUAGAAUUGUUAAAAUGCCAUUGACCUACAAGUUAUAUUGUCCAGAAAUCUAAAGUUACUUCUGUAUAUGUAUAGGAAACAAUCUUAAUGUUCUGGUACUGUCCACUGGUGUUUUAUGUGCUUCACCUUAUUGUACAUAUCAAUUAUUGUUUGGGAAAUUUAAAGCAGUUCUAUGGGGUACAGCAGCUAAGAGGAUACGGUGCUUGAUUCUUGUCUGAGCAUCCCAGUCUGAGGCUCCAUCUCGCUUGUAGUCAAGGAGGGGAUGGUGUCUGCUACCUAACCUUGAUUCGAGGAGCAGACAGCUCAUUUACAGGGGAUGUAUUGCUCUCUUGGAUGUAAUAUGUAAUCAAUCUGUCCAAAGGGUCUUUGCUGUGAUCCCAGGGCACCUCCAGUCCAUAUGUGCCAAACACAUUAUUUGGGGAGGUGAAGAUCAUUGAGCAGUGCUGCCUAGUGUACCAAAGGCUUAUAGUAUACUGCAAGCUGUAUCCAUACUAUCCCUAACAGACCUUUAGGACCCCUUUUUGCUUAAUGACUCUUAGGUGCCCAUGAAACAUACAGGAGGGGCAGAUGUAUUGGUGGUGGACAUCUUUGUACCUCACUCCAAGCAUGUUUAAUUCUUCAGACAACAUACAGUACUUGUAAUGGUAAGGUUAAAUAGUCAGAUUAUCUUGGAAUAAAGUGAAAAAUAAAAUGCAUAUAAGGAUAUAAUAGCAACUGAAGCUACUCGUAUGAAUACCGGUAUACUGAGAGGAGGAGACCCUCUUGUGUUUCAUAUCCACUUCCAGGAUCCCACAAUCCAUUUCAUGCUGAGACAGGAUAACAUCAAUGGACAACAAGGCUUUGGGUGCAUCUGAAAUGACUGAGGAAGCAUUACCUUCAGAUGAAUAUGCAGUAAGGAAAAUGAUUUCAAGGCCCUCAUAGAAAUUAGCUUAGGAGUUAGUUGCUGUCAAGGCAAAAAAAAAUCUGCAAAAACCAGGAACAAAGGCGGAAGUGAACCUUACUAAUAAUAUAGCAUGCUGGGAAGUUAUCCACCAAGGCCAUGGAUGCAUCUUGAAGUGACUGAGGAAGCACUGCUCUCCUCAGAUGAAUAUGCAGGUCCUAGGAGGCAAACUAAGCAUCUUGUUAUUGUCAAAGCAAUUUCCUCAACCACAAUGCUGAACAGAGGAUAAAUUCUGCUGGUCUCGGAGGAAUUUCACAAAUACUCGAGCAGGAAAAAUUCAAGAACGUUAUUCUCCAUCGCCAAUCUUAAUUUGAAACCAAGGACAUCUUGUUAUUGUCAAAUCAAAUUUCCUCAACUACAAUGCCUAACAGAGGAUAAAUUCUGCUGGUCUCGGAGGAAUGUGUCAAAUACUCAAGCAGGAAAAAUUCAAGAACGUUAAUCUCCAUCACUAAUGUUAAUUUGAAGCCGAGGAAAUUAAUGGAGUGUUUUUUUGUUUUUGUUUUUCAUUAAAGUAUGCAGAAGUGUU
Homarus americanus (American lobster) is the source of this 1719-nucleotide long non-coding RNA. RefSeq lists it as uncharacterized. The transcript has 5 exons. The record is from RefSeq and is a predicted model, not a curated record. NCBI's taxonomy places the organism in Eukaryota, Metazoa, Arthropoda, Malacostraca, Decapoda, Nephropidae.